RNAcentral lists this ribosomal RNA (572 nucleotides) under Alternaria sp. 1-HL1-1. RNAcentral's name for it is "eukaryotic LSU rRNA". The stretch from base 197 to 350 matches the Rfam family "5.8S ribosomal RNA". Lineage: Eukaryota; Fungi; Ascomycota; Dothideomycetes; Pleosporales; Pleosporaceae. The record is from RNAcentral.
UCCGUAGGGUGAACCUGCGGAGGGAUCAUUACACAAAUAUGAAGGCGGGCUGGAACCUCUCGGGGUUACAGCCUUGCUGAAUUAUUCACCCUUGUCUUUUGCGUACUUCUUGUUUCCUUGGUGGGUUCGCCCACCACUAGGACAAACAUAAACCUUUUGUAAUUGCAAUCAGCGUCAGUAACAAAUUAAUAAUUACAACUUUCAACAACGGAUCUCUUGGUUCUGGCAUCGAUGAAGAACGCAGCGAAAUGCGAUAAGUAGUGUGAAUUGCAGAAUUCAGUGAAUCAUCGAAUCUUUGAACGCACAUUGCGCCCUUUGGUAUUCCAAAGGGCAUGCCUGUUCGAGCGUCAUUUGUACCCUCAAGCUUUGCUUGGUGUUGGGCGUCUUGUCUCUAGCUUUGCUGGAGACUCGCCUUAAAGUAAUUGGCAGCCGGCCUACUGGUUUCGGAGCGCAGCACAAGUCGCACUCUCUAUCAGCAAAGGUCUAGCAUCCAUUAAGCCUUUUUUUCAACUUUUGACCUCGGAUCAGGUAGGGAUACCCGCUGAACUUAAGCAUAUCAAUAAGUCGGAGGA